CCGGCCCUACGGGAGGCAGCAGUGAGGAAUAUUGGUCAAUGGUCGGGAGGCUGAACCAGCCAAGCCGCGUGAGGGAGGAAGGUACAGAGUAUCGUAAACCUCUUUUGUCAGGGAACAAAGACUGGGACGCGUCCCCGGAUGAGUGUACCUGAAGAAAAAGCACCGGCUAACUCCGUGCCAGCAGCCGCGGUAAUACGGAGGAUGCGAGCGUUAUCCGGAUUUAUUGGGUUUAAAGGGUGUGCAGGCGGUCUGUUAAGUCAGCGGUCAAAGCCCGGGGCUCAACCCCGGCCCGCCGUUGAAACUGG
RNAcentral lists this ribosomal RNA (305 nucleotides) under uncultured bacterium. RNAcentral's name for it is "bacterial SSU rRNA". It matches the Rfam family "Bacterial small subunit ribosomal RNA", at positions 332 to 636 of the family's 1533-position model. The record is from RNAcentral.